AUUCGCAGCCAUAUCAACCUGCAGCCCAAGGCCAGUUACUCACUAAAGCUAAGCAGGGCUGAGCCUGGUCAGUACCUGGAUGGGAGACCACUAGGGAACACUAGGUUGCUGUUGGAA
This is a non-coding RNA of Danio rerio (zebrafish), 117 nucleotides long. Lineage: Eukaryota; Metazoa; Chordata; Actinopteri; Cypriniformes; Danionidae. The record is from Rfam.